This is a non-coding RNA of Cinara cedri, 251 nucleotides long. NCBI's taxonomy places the organism in Eukaryota, Metazoa, Arthropoda, Insecta, Hemiptera, Aphididae. The record is from the annotation of a GenBank genome assembly.
AUAGCUCAUUCGCACCUGAAAUCAUAACCCAUUUGCAAUCGAAAUAUUUUGCGUUAAAACCGUGCAACGUUGCCGACCUGUAUGCCGGAAUACGAUGCAAAACUGCUGCGGACUCACCUUUUAUCAUACUGUUUUUAGAUUUUACGUUACACCCUUAUCGAUAUUGGUCAAUUGUAUGACACUUCAUGACAGUUCUCUCCGUGAAUGCGUUGUGCAACGUUACGCAAAUUACAAACACAAGUUUCACGUGU